GACGAACGCUGGCGGCGUGCCUAAUACAUGCAAGUUGAGCGCUGAAGGUUGGUACUUGUACCAACUGGAUGAGCAGCGAACGGGUGAGUAACGCGUGGGGAAUCUGCCUUUGAGCGGGGGACAACAUUUGGAAACGAAUGCUAAUACCGCAUAAAAACUUUAAACACAAGUUUUAAGUUUGAAAGAUGCAAUUGCAUCACUCAAAGAUGAUCCCGCGUUGUAUUAGCUAGUUGGUGAGGUAAAGGCUCACCAAGGCGAUGAUACAUAGCCGACCUGAGAGGGUGGUCGGCCACAUUGGGACUGAGACACGGCCCAAACUCCUACGGGAGGCAGCAGUAGGGAAUCUUCGGCAAUGGACGAAAGUCUGACCGAGCAACGCCGCGUGAGUGAAGAAGGUUUUCGGAUCGUAAAACUCUGUUGGUAGAGAAGAACGUUGGUGAGAGUGGAAAGCUCAUCAAGUGACGGGAACUACCCAGAAAGGGACGGCGAACUACGU
This 496-nucleotide ribosomal RNA is filed under the name uncultured bacterium. Its description in RNAcentral is "partial 16S ribosomal RNA". It matches the Rfam family "Bacterial small subunit ribosomal RNA", at positions 28 to 506 of the family's 1533-position model. The record is from RNAcentral.